RNAcentral lists this ribosomal RNA (254 nucleotides) under uncultured bacterium. Its description in RNAcentral is "partial 16S ribosomal RNA". It matches the Rfam family "Bacterial small subunit ribosomal RNA", at positions 524 to 776 of the family's 1533-position model. The record is from RNAcentral.
UACAGAGGGUGCGAGCGUUGUCCGGAAUCACUGGGCGUAAAGGGCGCGUAGGUGGUGGCUUAAGCGUGCGGUGAAAGCUCGGGGCUCAACCCCGAGUCGGCCGUGCGAACUGGGCUCACUGGAGCAUAGUAGAGGCAGGUGGAAUUCUGGGUGUAGCGGUGGAAUGCGUAGAGAUCCGGAAGAACACCGGUGGCGAAGGCGGCCUGCUGGGCUAUGGCUGACACUGAGGCGCGACAGCGUGGGGAGCAAACAGG